This 663-nucleotide long non-coding RNA is filed under the name Malus domestica (apple). RNAcentral's name for it is "long non-coding RNA (MDOM_LNC006381)". The record is from RNAcentral. Lineage: Eukaryota; Viridiplantae; Streptophyta; Magnoliopsida; Rosales; Rosaceae.
AUUGGCCUCCUGGUUGGAGGGAAACUCUUCUGGGUCCUUGACGGUAUAACGUCAACCAGUGCUCAGUAGUUUCGGGAUUGGUCAAGUAUGGUACAAACAGUGCCCCCCUAAGUUCCCGAGUGAGGGAAGCUCCUCGGUUGGGGACUUGCAAGAUCCAAGCCGCUGAGUAAUCACGAAACUUCUAAGUACCGAAGUGUGGUAUCGUCUUCACUUGCCUUAUCUAUCUCAUAGGUAGAUGUGACAUCUUCUCUGGAAGUACUUUUCCUUCAUCCAAGGGUGGUAUCUUUAACCGGUGGAGAUGCACAAGGUAAUGUAUCAAUUUAACUUGAAGCUUACUUGUAGUUUCAGGCUUGGUUAAACGUAAUAAAAACCAUGUAGUAGGAGUCCCCCAAGUCACCGAGCUAGGAGAUUUGCCGAAAGAGGUGACAGACAAGGUAAGCAAUCAGAGUUCCAAGCAAUCAGUCCCAGAUCAGAAGUUUGAUUUCGAGUUCCGGCUGAUUGUUCUCAUUCUCCCUAUCUUGCAGGCAGCAAGAAGGAUAAAGAGAAGAAAAAAGAGAAGAGAUGAUAUGAGAUACUUUUGUUUUUGAAGAAGUAACUUUUCACAGGCUUAUUCUUGAACUGGGCUAGAGGGUUUUCUGGUUUCCUUCACAGUAUGAGGCCGAC